RNAcentral lists this unclassified non-coding RNA (3192 nucleotides) under Hevea brasiliensis (rubber tree). The record is from RNAcentral. Lineage: Eukaryota; Viridiplantae; Streptophyta; Magnoliopsida; Malpighiales; Euphorbiaceae.
CUAUCCCGCCAGAUUUCGCUCUCUCUCGAAAAUCCGCCGCUUCCCUUCCAUACAACCACUUGUUCUCCCUUUCACGCGCGCGCAAAUGUUCUCAGGCACAGCCAUGGAGCAAGCUCCAGAGCUCAUCUCCAAGAAACGGAACAGGUCAUCCUCCGCAUACCAUCCUUUCGUGGGAAUCCUCACCCGCAGCAAAUCCCAGGUCUAUCUUCACUGCAACCGCUCUGGUCGAGCCCGCUCUGAUUCAUUUCGCCACAUCAAACACCAUGAUAAUCUCAGGUCAAGGCCCAUUGGGUUCUUGUCGAAGACCCAAAUAAAAUCCCACAAUAAGAUGUCCAGACGAAAAUCAGAAAGUAUGUUGACCCAUAAUUCUGCUGAUAAAGAUGACUGGUCUGGCAUGAUCAUCAAAGAUCUCCGCACGAGACGGGUUUUCUCUUUGGCAUCAGUGGCUAAUGAUUGUGGGUUAUGCAUUGAUGUUGAGGAGAAAAAGGCAUCUGAGAAAGGGAGUGGAGGAUUUGAAGAAGCUGGGUUUUUUUCUGAUUCCAAGAAUUUGGAAGUCAUGAAGUCUGAUUCCUUCAUUGAUACACAAGAUGUUGAUGGGGAUUAUUUUGAUAGCGCAAAAGAGGGAGAAGGCAAAGAUAGCAUGAAAUCUAAUGUGGGAUAUUCUAGCAAAGAGCAGAACAGUGCUAAUUUGCCUGUGACUGAAGGGAAUGCGAGAAGUGCUGAAGAUGGUGAGAUUUCAAGCGAGGUUGGUGGUUUGGAUGAAGAAUGUUUACAGGCGACACCGCCGGACGCUGAGAUUCUUGAUAGAGAGAAUGUUUCUUGGAAGCUGUCAACUGAAAAUCUUCAGAAGAGAGUGGAUCUUCAAGAGAACAUGGACAUGAAAAAUGUCAAUAAUUCAGAAGGCAAAUCAGUUCUUACCCCACGGUCUAGAGUUAAAGUUUUCAGAGCUCCAGGCUCAUUCAGCUAUAGAAGAUUGCUUCCUUAUUUGAUGGAUAUGGUCCAAGACAAUUCUUUAUCCAUAGGUGCUCCCAGAAACGGUAAAUCAAUUGAUAAAUUUAAGAUUGAGAGUCCUUCCAUGGAGUUUCAAGCUGGUGAUUCUUUGUCACAGAGUGUGCCAAAUUUUGAGGAUGGCUUAUCUGAUGGUACUGAUUCUAAUUUAACAUCUAGUGAACGCAUCCCUGACUCGACAAUGUUAAUUGGUUCACAAAAGGAUUCUUGCACAAGAGUUUAUUCUCCCACCUCAUUGAUUCAUGAGUGUUGUUCAAAACCACCUGCCAAUGAAGUAAAUGAGAAAACUAAUAUAGGGGUUUCUUGGAAAAAUGGGAACAUAGAAAGCUCGAACCAUGACUGCUCUUCAAGGGUGGACAAUUCUCCCAUCAAUGGAUCUUCCAAUGAUACAAAACCUACGGACAGGGGAGAUAAUAGAGGAAUUAUGAGUAAGUCUCCUUGCAAUUCUCAAGAUUCUAAAGAAACAAGGUGUGAUUUAUCUUUGAAGGCAGAGAAGCAUCAACUACGUGAAGGUGACGAGAUUGAGCAACACUGUUACAAUAUGAAGCAGACUGAGAGUGUGGAAAUAAAAGAGUUUGAUGUGAGGCAUCCUUACGAAACUAUUGAUCGGAAUCAUACAAGCUCCAAUGCGUCUAAUGCAGAAGGACACAGCUGUAUUGCAAAGAAGGAAGGCAAUGAUAAUGAUGUUCUAGAUAAAAUUAAUGAUCCAAACGAAGAAUCCAUCCAGAAUACGCCACCAGAUGCUGACAUCUUUGCAAAAUCAUUGGCAUAUCAGAACGUGGAGAACAGAAUCAAAUUUGUUUCACAGAGAACUGGUCAAGUUCUCAGGAAGCCAUUGAAUGGAGUUACUCAAAAAAACAGUUGCUAUUCUAGUGAUAAAAGAAUGGGUUCAAAUUCUAAAAGCAAAUUGGGUUUAAAUCCUUGCUCACGACUGAAGCUUUUUAAGACAAGAAGCUCCUUGGGCUAUAGAAGAUUGCUUCCAUAUCUGAUGGAUGUUACUAAAGAUAAUUCUGGUGAUUCUGGAAAUGGGCAUUGCCCAAAACUUGAGAAGAACUUGGAAGAAAAUCCACUCUCACAAUUACCAAUGUCUGACCUUGAUGAAACUCCAGUGAAGAAAUUAAAUGACAGAGAUUAUGGUAUGGAGUGUGAUACUGAUCCAUGCAAUAUGAAAAUAGCUGACCACAGCAGUGAAACUCCUGUGCCAACUGUUUCACAAGAACAAGAAUUGCAAGUUGUUGAGAUGAUAUCAGAUCUUAAAGAUGGGCAGUCAGAUGCUGUUCCUGCAAUUGGGAGUUUGGUUCAUGGAAGCAGUUCAGUCACUAUGUCAUUAUGUUCUUCAAUUGUUAGUCCUAGAUCUUUCUCUGGAGAUUAUCUCAACUUAGUUUCACAUGAAUUAUCUGCUGAUAAUGAAGAGGGCUGCAGAACAUCAGUAGUAAAACUUAAUAAUAGUGCAAAGCAAGUUGAUACAGGCAGCUUGUCUCAAAACUCAUCGAUGCUUGAAGUCUUCUCCAAUCCUUUAGGAAUUCCUGCACAAGAUUCCAGGAAGGGAAUUCUUAAAAAAAAUCCAAGGGGAUGCAGAGGACCUUGCACUUGUUUAAACUGUGCUUCCUUUCGCCUCCAUGCAGAGAGGGCAUUCGAGUUCUCCAAAAAUCAGAUGCAGGAUGCUGAAGAAGUGGUCCUAGAUUUGAUCAAGGAACUAUCUCACCUACGGAAUAUGCUUGAGAAAGCUGCAUUUGGUUUUAAUGAUAAUCAUUUUAUUUGCAUCAAUCAGGUGAAAAAGGCUUGCAGGGAAGCAUCUGAAGCAGAAGAACUAGCAAAAAGCCGGCUUAGCCAAAUGAAUUAUGAUGUCAAUGUUCACAGCAGAAUAACAGUGUGUCUCAGAUAUCAUUUCAAGCAUUUAAACCACUUUCGUCCUCUAAUAUCAACCCUUUUAAGAAUUUACGCAUUCUGUCUUUUUAAACAUUCACCAAGUCUAAUUCAUAUUAUUUUCAUGCAGUGUGAGCAGAGACCGAGGGUGAGGUUUUCGAAUAAUGUUGAAGAAAGAAUAAUUUCACAGGUGAAUUCAGACAGAGUUAAAAAUUAUGAGAGCACAGCAGCGGAUGAAGUUGUAUGAAUAUUUGGCCUUGAAGACCCAUCAGGAUAAAACCAGCAUACACAAGUCAUGAAUGUUUGUGGGUUUUUUAU